GCUAUACUCAAAACAUGGUUUCAAAUAGCUAAGAAACAGACUUGGUUUUUCACUGAUGUUGAAGAUCCUGUAUAUCAAAAGCUGACUGAUGGUCAUAUGAUUAAUACGAAUUGCUCGUUCUCUCAUAGUAGAAGAGCACUUUGCUGUAAAAUGGCUGUUGAGUUUGAUGCUUUUUUGGACAGUGGUAAACGAUGGUUUUGUCAUUUUGACGAUGACAACUAUGUGAACGUUCCAAAACUUGUUCAAAUGCUGAGUGGUUACAGCCCCCAGAUGGAUUGGUACUUGGGAAGACCAAGCAUCCGUGCACCUUUAGAAAUUAUGCAGAAGGAGAGAUUUUUCAAGCGCAAAGCAUCUUUUUGGUUUGCAACGGGAGGAGCUGGAUUCUGCAUUAGUAGAGCUCUUGCACUGAAAAUGCUUCCUUUAGCAAGUGACGGAAAGUUAAUAACUAUUGGAGAGAACAUUCGACUGCCUGAUGAUGUCACUGUAGGAUAUAUAAUUGAACACAUAUUGGGUAAGAAAUUAACUGUUAUAGAACAAUUUCACUCACAUUUAGAAUCAAUGAAGUUUCUCCGUGCGGAAACGCUGCAAGAUCAGAUAUCAUUUAGUUUUUCACGGAACAAGGGCGAAUGGAAUGUAGUGAACGUAAAUGGAUUCGAUCAUAAAGAUGAUCCAAACCGAUUUCUGUCGCUGCACUGUUUGUUGUUUCCAAACUACAGCUUUUGUCCAAGAUGACGAAGAAAUAGUGGCUGAAAUUGGCUAGUGUUGUUAAAUGUGAAAUUAACUGUGAUUCCAAAUGGAUAUAAGUCGUUGAAAACAGUCAUUAAGUGAAUGGGGAGUUGCAAUUGCAUUCGCAUUGCGAUUUUUAUAAGGACCAUCAAAUGCCGCGCUCGAAUAUAUGAAUAGGAAUUCAUAUCUCUUCGAGCUGGAUUUAGCAGCUCAUUUGUGAUUGUUCAAGAAUUAGAUGAAGAUGCGCCAAAGCUA
This is an RNA transcript of Ctenocephalides felis (cat flea), 981 nucleotides long. It is a transcript of the gene named fringe glycosyltransferase-like, with no coding region annotated. The transcript has 9 exons. The record is from RefSeq and is a predicted model, not a curated record. Lineage: Eukaryota; Metazoa; Arthropoda; Insecta; Siphonaptera; Pulicidae.